RNAcentral lists this ribosomal RNA (503 nucleotides) under uncultured Psychrobacter sp. RNAcentral's name for it is "bacterial SSU rRNA". It matches the Rfam family "Bacterial small subunit ribosomal RNA", at positions 886 to 1388 of the family's 1533-position model. The record is from RNAcentral. Lineage: Bacteria; Pseudomonadati; Pseudomonadota; Gammaproteobacteria; Moraxellales; Moraxellaceae.
CCGGCAAGGUUAAAACUCAAAUGAAUUGACGGGGCCCGCACAAGCGGUGGAGCAUGUGGUUUAAUUCGAUGCAACGCGAAGAACCUUACCUGGUCUUGACAUAUCUAGAAUCCUGCAGAGAUGCGGGAGUGCCUUCGGGAAUUAGAAUACAGGUGCUGCAUGGCUGUCGUCAGCUCGUGUCGUGAGAUGUUGGGUUAAGUCCCGCAACGAGCGCAACCCUUGUCCUUAGUUACCAGCGGGUUAAGCCGGGAACUCUAAGGAUACUGCCAGUGACAAACUGGAGGAAGGCGGGGACGACGUCAAGUCAUCAUGGCCCUUACGACCAGGGCUACACACGUGCUACAAUGGUAGGUACAGAGGGCAGCUACACAGCGAUGUGAUGCGAAUCUCAAAAAGCCUAUCGUAGUCCAGAUUGGAGUCUGCAACUCGACUCCAUGAAGUAGGAAUCGCUAGUAAUCGCGGAUCAGAAUGCCGCGGUGAAUACGUUCCCGGGCCUUGUACAC